Molecule: ribosomal RNA, 355 nt
Filed under: Kibaleana apicospinosa
Lineage: Eukaryota; Metazoa; Arthropoda; Insecta; Diptera; Keroplatidae
Description: partial 12S ribosomal RNA
Source: RNAcentral
UUAAAAUGUAAAAAAAAAAAUUAGAGUAGUAAUAGAUAUGUUCUUAAAACUUAAAAAAAUUGGCGGUAUUUUAAUCUAAUCAGAGGAAUUUGUUUUAUAAUUGAUAGUCCUCAUUAAAUCUUACUUAAUUUUGUUUAAUUUAUAUAUCGUUGUCAUAAGAAUAUCUUAAAAAAGAAAUAAUUUUCUAUUAUAAUAAUAAUUAAUUAUGUCAGAUCAAGGUGUAGUUUAUAAUUAAGAAAAAAUGAAUUACAAUUAAUUUAUUAAAUAUGGAUAAUAAUUUUAAAUAAUUAUUUGAAGGUGGAUUUGAUAGUAAAUUUUUUUAAAAAGGAAAAUUGAUUUUAGUUCUAAAAUAUGU